GGUACAUCGGUGACAGGUGGUGCAUGGUUGUCGUCAGCUCGUGUCGUGAGAUGUUCGGGUUAAGUCCCGCAACGAGCCGCAACCCCUAUUGUUAGUUGCCAUCAUUCAGUUGGGCACUCUAGCGAGACUGCCGGUAAUAACCGGAGGAAGUGGGAUGACGUCAAGUCCUCAUGGCCCUUAUGGUAGGGCUUCACACGUCAUACAAUGGUCGGUACAGAGGGUUGCCAAGCCGCGAGGCGGAGCCAAUCCCACAAAGCCGAUCGUAGUCCGGAUUGUUCUCUGCAACUCGAGAGCAUGAAGUCGGAAUCGCUAGUAAUCGCAGGUCAGCAUACUGCGGUGAAUACGUUCCCGGGUCUU
This 357-nucleotide ribosomal RNA is filed under the name uncultured Neisseria sp. RNAcentral's name for it is "bacterial SSU rRNA". It matches the Rfam family "Bacterial small subunit ribosomal RNA", at positions 1022 to 1382 of the family's 1533-position model. Lineage: Bacteria; Pseudomonadati; Pseudomonadota; Betaproteobacteria; Neisseriales; Neisseriaceae. The record is from RNAcentral.